AUGAAGACAGAUGUGUUCAGCUUUGGCGUUUUGGUUCUGGUGAUUAUUAGUGGCCGAAAGAAUACCAUACUCGACAAGCAAGGGGAUACUGUUGGUGAUCUUGUACGAGAUGCCUGGCGUAUGUGGAAGGAACAAAGGUUGCAUGAGCUUGUGGAUCCGUUGUUAGGUGACGGAUAUGAAGUCGCCGAGAUAAUGAAAUGCGCUCAAGUGGCACUGGUUUGUGCUCAGGAAGAUCUAGCAUAUCGGCCCGCCAUGACAAAUGUUGCUGCAAUGCUGAACUCUGAAAGCAUAAGCUUACCGAUGGAGCCUAAGCAACCCGGUACGCUGAUCCAUGGGUGUGCUGACAGAGACACGACAUCGACAUACGUGGGCCAAUCAAGCAGGACGAUAGACAUAACUAUAACGAGCUCUGCUCCAACGUCGACUAGAGUUUGA
RNAcentral lists this ribosomal RNA (435 nucleotides) under Triticum aestivum (bread wheat). RNAcentral describes it as "partial small subunit ribosomal RNA". Lineage: Eukaryota; Viridiplantae; Streptophyta; Magnoliopsida; Poales; Poaceae. The record is from RNAcentral.